Molecule: ribosomal RNA, 253 nt
Filed under: uncultured bacterium
Lineage: Bacteria
Description: partial 16S ribosomal RNA
Rfam family: Bacterial small subunit ribosomal RNA
Source: RNAcentral
UACGAAGGGGACUAGCGUUGUUCGGAAUUACUGGGCGUAAAGCGCACGUAGGCGGAUUUGUUAGUCAGGGGUGAAAUCCCGGGGCUCAACCUCGGAACUGCCUUUGAUACUGCGAAUCUUGAGUCCGAUAGAGGUGGGUGGAAUUCCUAGUGUAGAGGUGAAAUUCGUAGAUAUUAGGAAGAACACCAGUGGCGAAGGCGGCCCACUGGAUCGGUACUGACGCUGAGGUGCGAAAGCGUGGGGAGCAAACAGG